UGAAUAUUCCAUAUUCAUAUUCCAUAUUUCUGGGAUCUCCCUCAAAACUGCAUUGUAGGAUCAUAGAACAGCUUGGGUUGGAAGGGACCACAAGGAUCAUCAAGCUCCAAUCCCCCUGCUGCAGACAGGGCCACCAGCUCCCAUAGCUCAUGCUAGACCAGGCUGCCCGUGCGUUAAAGAAAACCCGGCAGAAGUCAUGGUGGAGAGCUGGGUGCUUAGCUCGGGACAUGGACUGCCUGGUGACAUCACAAGCACGGUGACAUCACAAGCACUGUGCUUGGGGCCGUGGCUGCCACCAGUGAGUGCCACAGCUGUGAGCGCUGCGCAGGAGUGCGGACACGCUGUGUCAGCCCUUGUCCCUGCUGGCAGUGAUAGUGGUGGUAGCUGACGGGUGCUGCCCGAUCUCGCUGUGUUGCUCAGCCAUUAGGCUGCUGUGUUAGCUGGAAGGGAGAAGGACUGCAGCUGUGCCUGGUAAUCCAGAACUGUAGUGAGUCAUAUCAGUCUCACAUAUCAGUCAUGAACGGACUGACCACACCGCCGAGCAAAGAAGCCGAUGCAAGUGGCCUUCCUCUGAAGAGCGGCCUUGCAGAAAGUCCGGGGAGCCAGGCAGUGGUUGAGAAGGCACCAGGAAGAGUUGCCAUCCCAACUUCCACCCAUGGCCUGGCUGGACAAAAACGCAAGCGAUCUGACGAGAAGAAGGGAAAAGCGAAGGAAUAAUCCAGCAAAG
Non-coding RNA from Coturnix japonica (Japanese quail), 727 nucleotides. Lineage: Eukaryota; Metazoa; Chordata; Aves; Galliformes; Phasianidae. The record is from RefSeq and is a predicted model, not a curated record.